Molecule: ribosomal RNA, 253 nt
Filed under: uncultured bacterium
Lineage: Bacteria
Description: partial 16S ribosomal RNA
Rfam family: Bacterial small subunit ribosomal RNA
Source: RNAcentral
UACGGAGGGAGCUAGCGUUGUUCGGAAUUACUGGGCGUAAAGCGCACGUAGGCGGCUAGUCAAGUCGGGGGUGAAAGCCCGGGGCUCAACCCCGGAACUGCCCUCGAAACUAGAUAGCUAGAAUCUUGGAGAGGCGAGUGGAAUUCCGAGUGUAGAGGUGAAAUUCGUAGAUAUUCGGAAGAACACCAGUGGCGAAGGCGACGCGCUGGACAAGUAUUGACGCUGAGGUGCGAAAGCGUGGGGAGCAAACAGG